This 1480-nucleotide ribosomal RNA is filed under the name Staphylococcus aureus T35604. RNAcentral describes it as "partial 16S ribosomal RNA". It matches the Rfam family "Bacterial small subunit ribosomal RNA". The record is from RNAcentral. Lineage: Bacteria; Bacillati; Bacillota; Bacilli; Caryophanales; Staphylococcaceae.
AGAGUUUGAUCCUGGCUCAGGAUGAACGCUGGCGGCGUGCCUAAUACAUGCAAGUCGAGCGAACGGACGAGAAGCUUGCUUCUCUGAUGUUAGCGGCGGACGGGUGAGUAACACGUGGAUAACCUACCUAUAAGACUGGGAUAACUUCGGGAAACCGGAGCUAAUACCGGAUAAUAUUUUGAACCGCAUGGUUCAAAAGUGAAAGACGGUCUUGCUGUCACUUAUAGAUGGAUCCGCGCUGCAUUAGCUAGUUGGUAAGGUAACGGCUUACCAAGGCAACGAUGCAUAGCCGACCUGAGAGGGUGAUCGGCCACACUGGAACUGAGACACGGUCCAGACUCCUACGGGAGGCAGCAGUAGGGAAUCUUCCGCAAUGGGCGAAAGCCUGACGGAGCAACGCCGCGUGAGUGAUGAAGGUCUUCGGAUCGUAAAACUCUGUUAUUAGGGAAGAACAUAUGUGUAAGUAACUGUGCACAUCUUGACGGUACCUAAUCAGAAAGCCACGGCUAACUACGUGCCAGCAGCCGCGGUAAUACGUAGGUGGCAAGCGUUAUCCGGAAUUAUUGGGCGUAAAGCGCGCGUAGGCGGUUUUUUAAGUCUGAUGUGAAAGCCCACGGCUCAACCGUGGAGGGUCAUUGGAAACUGGAAAACUUGAGUGCAGAAGAGGAAAGUGGAAUUCCAUGUGUAGCGGUGAAAUGCGCAGAGAUAUGGAGGAACACCAGUGGCGAAGGCGACUUUCUGGUCUGUAACUGACGCUGAUGUGCGAAAGCGUGGGGAUCAAACAGGAUUAGAUACCCUGGUAGUCCACGCCGUAAACGAUGAGUGCUAAGUGUUAGGGGGUUUCCGCCCCUUAGUGCUGCAGCUAACGCAUUAAGCACUCCGCCUGGGGAGUACGACCGCAAGGUUGAAACUCAAAGGAAUUGACGGGGACCCGCACAAGCGGUGGAGCAUGUGGUUUAAUUCGAAGCAACGCGAAGAACCUUACCAAAUCUUGACAUCCUUUGACAACUCUAGAGAUAGAGCCUUCCCCUUCGGGGGACAAAGUGACAGGUGGUGCAUGGUUGUCGUCAGCUCGUGUCGUGAGAUGUUGGGUUAAGUCCCGCAACGAGCGCAACCCUUAAGCUUAGUUGCCAUCAUUAAGUUGGGCACUCUAAGUUGACUGCCGGUGACAAACCGGAGGAAGGUGGGGAUGACGUCAAAUCAUCAUGCCCCUUAUGAUUUGGGCUACACACGUGCUACAAUGGACAAUACAAAGGGCAGCGAAACCGCGAGGUCAAGCAAAUCCCAUAAAGUUGUUCUCAGUUCGGAUUGUAGUCUGCAACUCGACUACAUGAAGCUGGAAUCGCUAGUAAUCGUAGAUCAGCAUGCUACGGUGAAUACGUUCCCGGGUCUUGUACACACCGCCCGUCACACCACGAGAGUUUGUAACACCCGAAGCCGGUGGAGUAACCUUUUAGGAGCUAGCCGUCGAAGGUGGGAC